This is a long non-coding RNA of Felis catus (domestic cat), 4428 nucleotides long. RefSeq lists it as uncharacterized. The record is from RefSeq and is a predicted model, not a curated record. The transcript has 7 exons. Lineage: Eukaryota; Metazoa; Chordata; Mammalia; Carnivora; Felidae.
AUGAGCACUGGGUGUUGUAUGGAAACCAAUUUGACGAUAAACUUCAUCUAUUGAAAAAACAUAAAAUAAAAUAAAAAAUAAAAGCUUAUCAUGUGCAAAGCAUUGUGCUACAGUGCAUGUAUUUUUUCAUUUAUAUCUCACAACACCCUUAUGAGAUAACAGAAUAAUGUUACUUAUAUCUGCUUUGUAGAAGGAAAUGGGAGUCUUAGAGAGGUUAAGCCACUUGCUCACCGUCAUGCCAACAGGCCAGGGCCAGGGCUCCAGCUCAGGCUUCGACUGACGCUGGAGCUGGAACUCAAAAAAGCAUGUUCCAAUGCUUCUUCUUUGGUUCCUUCCAGUAUUUACCCUUAUGCAUGCAUAAUUUUUACAUUUCUGCAAACAUAGCGCCGAUAGACCUUAUCUGCUGUUUUCACUUAGCAGAAUGCUAAAAACACUUCCGCAGUUAUUAUAGCAUAGCCACAAAAGAGAUGACUUUUAUUGAUGGUAUAUUCUUUCGUAAAAUGGAUAGAUCAUAGCUGACUUGAGCGUACUUCCAAUGUAGCACGUUUAUAUAAUUUUCAGUUUCUCAUCUAACAAUAAAUCUCUAGUGAACAUCUUCAUGCAUGUAGCAUUUUCUAAUUUUGACCUAUUUCUUGGGAUACAUUUCUAGGAAAGAAGAUAUUGAUUCAAAGGGGAGAUGCUGUUUUAUAAUUCUUCAAACAUAUUCUUCAAAAAGUUUUCUGAGUUAUGCCCCUGUGAGUGCUUGUUGAAACUACCAGGUUUACCAUGAUUUCAUCAGUAUGGAAGUUCAUCAUUAUUUUAAGUUUGUAUUAAUUCAACGCUUGCUUUCUUUGAAGAUUAUUGAGUACAAUCAACAUACAGUGCUAUAUUGCUUUCUGGAUACAACAUAGUGACCUUACAACUUCACCCAUUACUCCAUGCUCAUCACGUGUGUUUCCUUUUUUAGGGACAAGGCAUUAUUAGACUCAGAAUCUGAUUGGGAGAAGAGCAGUGGAAGGUUGUGAAAAUGAAUUGCAACCAAAACAGCUUAAGGUUUGAAGAGGUAUAAAAGUGGCUAAACCAUUAUAGAAAUUCUGACAAACUGUAGGAAAAAAUGGCAAGUUAGCCUUCAGGAGUGAUCAAGUAGACCAUGAAAGGAAAUACCCACUGUGACAAAGAUGGACAGAGAACACAGAAGACUGAGAAUAAUGAUUGGAGAAAAGAGAAACAUCCUAAGAAAUCUAAUAGCACUCUCAGACGAUGGAAAGGAGAUUGUGUAAAGGGAAGCAGCAGCAGAUUAUUGGGCUGUGGAGGUGCUUGCUGGUGGACAGAAUAUGCCCAAGAAAUCUGAGAAAGAAGCCUAAACAGAGAGAUAAAUAACAGGCCCUGGAAAAACACUUUGAAAAUGCAGUGCGGGUUCCAAGAAAAGCACUCUACCCAACUGUUCAGAGUAUGAAGACUGUCACAACACAGCUGGCAGAAACCACAUCACUGGAAAAAACCUGAAUCAAAGAAUUAGAGGGUAUGAAGACAGCUCUCUUCAAUUCCCAAUUCAGCCCUUUGCCAUAGAGCAAGAGAACCAUGGGCAACCUGCUUGCAUCACAAAAGUACUAAGCAAAAAUGGUACCUGAUCAGAGAGUUCAGACUCCAGGAGAAAGCUCAGGCUGCAGAAGGGAGCAAAUGGAAUCUCAAGUUAAUACGUCAAAGCAGCAGCUACUUGACUAAACACCCUCAGAUAUCCUUCCUCAAGAAUCACUGGAUAAGGACUGUACUCAAAGUGAACUUGUAGGAAGUUAAUCAGAAGGCCAAGGGUGUGGGCCUUGAAAUCACAGGAUGUGUGUGUGUGUGUGUGUGUGUGUGUGUGUUUGAUGUACAACCAAGUCUGGUCCACUACCUUCCUUUCCAGAGUAUGGGUUCAGACAUUUAUAGAUAGUCUUUGUUGUAUUACAAAAGACUAAGUUAAAAAGGCCUCCAGAUAAUCAUAAAUCAGUAGUUGUUAAACCUUUUUCCACCUUAUCACGUUUGAGAAAUAGCCCAGCUCCUGUACAACUUUAGUCACUGUGACCUUAAUUCUCACAUUCUCCAGAAUCCCUGGGGAAACAUGUUGGUAUAAUUUGUGGGGACACUCCUCUUACCCCCAUGACUAUCUUACCCACUUCCAGUCAUCAGUUGAGAUUCUGAACAUUUCUCUAGGUCUUGCUCACAAUGAUAAUAAAGUUUGUGAUUCCUAAACUGAGUAAAACUAAGCAAACAACACCUCUUUGUUUAAGCAAAACUUCUUUUUGUUUGAGCCUGUGUAUUUCACACAAGCACAGACGUUUAGGACACUCAGGUAACAUUUAUGGGACAGUUUACAUGUGUAUCACUUCAGUGCAGGCAGAGGGCCCAGUACAAAGACAAAUGUCAAUAAAUAUGUAUUUAAUAAAUGCUAGUUAAGUAAAAUAUCUAACAUUUCUAAGGUCAAAGGCUAGUCCAUGAUAUUUUAGACUUUUUAAGUAGCUAUAUUUAUCAUGUCCAAAGGGAACUGUCAGCACGAAUUUAAACAUAAAAAAAUAGGUGAAAAUACAAAACAAAAUGCUUAAAUGCAUAUAUGCCCUAAAUAACAAUGACCUUCAAGUGUGUAUCACAUAUCUAUUGGCUAUUUUCUUGUAGAUGACAAAAAAUUAUCCAUGAUUUACUUCUAUUUAGAAACACUCAAUUUCUGGCAUCGACAAGACCUCUUUUUAGAAGAGGUUUUUCAAAAAAAUUUAUCAGAUGAGCUUCUCUAAAAUAGUUUUUCUCAAAAUAAGAUCCACCUGCCAACUGCAUUUAGAAUCACAGGGGGUAACUGUUUAAAGUGUAGACUCCUAAUUAACUAUUUUCUCCACAUCUAAUCUUCGAGGAGCUAGGAAUCUACAUUUCCAAUCCUUCUAGUGAGAAGUUUUAGAGCCCUUGCACAAAGACCUUGAGGGUAAGGAAAAUAAUUUCCAAAAAUGAAACAAUAAUAAAACUAUGGGAAUACGAAUAUAUGUGUAUACAUAUACACAUACACAUAUAUACAUACACACACAUACUAUUGGGUAAUAAAACUAUGGACAAUAUAAGUACCUUAAAGGUUACAAAUCUGUCACUGUAAUUAUUAAAAUAAAAUCCAUAAGAAACUGUAGAAAGCUGUUCACCACACUUUUCCCCACCCCAGCACGCGUACACGCGCACACGCACACACAGACACACAGGCCUUCUCUCCAAAAGACAGAACUUAAACUUCUUUCAGAGACCUAAUAAAACUGAACAUUACCUACUUCAUGAUUCAUUCUAGACUGGACUGAACUGGGGGUGAGCACAGGCUCCUCUCCCUAGAUGUCCCCAGUUGUUAAAAAGUUCCAAAGUUGAAUUUGACUCAAAGGUCUACUGGGAUCUCAGACAUUCCUAUUAGCCCAAUAAGAACAUGUAGAUCCCUUUAGAGAAGGCAGAGAGCCUCAGAAACCCACUCACUGCUUCCAGGGUCCUAAAGACCCAGUCCGGAGUGGGGUUGGUCUCCAGGGAGAUGAACAGGUACACACAGUGGCAACGCACUGGCAGAAGGGCCUGGUUGUGGCUUUGCUUUCUCAAUACUUGGGGGCAGCAGCUGCUGAGUGCCCAUAAACUUGGCUGGAACUCAAAACCAGAGCUAAUAACAGUCUUUAUCGUCAGCUGUGUAUCAGCCAAGCCUAGGCAUUUCCCACCCAAGGGGGAAGAUCAGAGCCAGGAUGAAUAGGGGUAGUGCUACCCUAGAAUGUGAAUCUUUCUUCUCUUUGACAUAUCUUUCACAAUAUGAUUUUUAUCCUUAUCUUGAAGCACCUGAUUUUCCUUAUUUGUAGUGUGAUGUAAAGUCCUUAAAGAUAGGGGUUGGGGCAGGUAAGCCCACAAAUCCCCAAUGGGUUUGAGCUAGUUGCUACUACCCCUUAACACAACAUCCUAACUCUUGGGAACAAAUGAUAAAACCUUACAUUUAGUAGGGUAUAAGACCAACAUUCAGGCUAAACCAGAAAAAAAACCUGCAAGUGUGAUUUUUUUUUAAUAUUAAGAGAUAGGGAGUCUUUUUAUACUAGCACAAUCCUGCUCAGUUUAUGAAGACCAAUGGGAAAUUAAGAGAAACUUGCGUCACAUGGGGAAGCAACCUUAGGUUAUUUUCACACAUCUUCAGCUGACAUACAUCUCUAUAGACCACUUAAUCAUGCCAGUCACAAGAAAAACAAGAUAUAAUUUUCUUUAUCAAAUUUCUUUCCCUGUUCUGAUCCUACUCGGAAAAUAUACUCUCAUUUGUAAGCGGGAGAAGAAAACAUGUGCUUUCAGGGGAGUACAAUCGUUUGUAAAGGAUAUAUUCUGAAUGCCAUAAAAUUUUGUGUUUUCAUUUCUGGAGUAAAAAUAACUAUAGAAUAAAUAGAGACCUACAAAUGUUACAGAAAUAAAUAUGUAUAUUUGCACUUA